RNAcentral lists this ribosomal RNA (264 nucleotides) under uncultured bacterium. Its description in RNAcentral is "partial 16S ribosomal RNA". It matches the Rfam family "Bacterial small subunit ribosomal RNA", at positions 91 to 354 of the family's 1533-position model. The record is from RNAcentral.
CGACCGGGCGCACGGGUGAGUAACGCGUAUCCAACCUGCCCUUUACUAUGGGACAGCCCGUCGAAAGGCGGAUUAAUACCGUAUGUUGUCAUGUUGAUGCAUAUUUUCAUGACCAAAGGCUUCGGCCGGUAAAGGAUGGGGAUGCGUCUGAUUAGCUUGCCGGCGGGGUAACGACCCACCGGGGCGACGAUCAGUAGGGGUUCUGAGAGGAAGGUCCCCACAUUGGAACUGAGACACGGUCCAGACUCCUACGGGAGGCAGCAG